AUGUCUUCUCACAAGACUUUCAGGAUUAAGCGAUUCCUGGCCAGGAAACAAAAGCAAAAUCGUCCCAUUCCCCAGUGGAUUCGGAUGAAAACUGGAAAUAAAAUCAGAUGGGAGGCCAGGCCUGCAGCUGGUGGAGGGGGCCACGUGGGUGCUACCCUGGACACGGCCAGAGAUGAGCAAGAACCAAGAGGAAGAGGAUGGAGAGGCAGAAGCAUCACCCUGUUUGGGAGAGGAGGGACAGGAGGACGCAGAAGCCUCCUAGGAGAAACUGAAGGACCAGAGGAGGGAGCAGGAGGGCCUGACCAUGGAGGGGAGGAAGGGGAAGACAGAGUGACAGGGCACCUGGCUUGGCUCCUGGAGCAACUGACACUGGCUGGUAGGCACCUUCUCCUGGCCACACAUCUGCGUGUGACAGCCACAGAUGCACAGGGAUGGGGGCGUGGGAGGAUGAGCAGAGAGGGCUAGGGGGCUCUCUCUCUACCACAGGGCCCCUGCCCCUCAGCUUCCUGAUAAAGAGAAUUGGAACUGUGUCCUUGACAAGGUAAGGGACCUGAAUCUGACAGGGCUCACGCUCUGCUCUGUGGGUCAAACUUAGAACCUGAAACUCCCAACCACCGUCUUCAAGGUCCUUCUGGCUCCCAACCCCCACCUCCCGCCACCCCACCCUAAGGGUGGGAGGAACCCUGGGGGAGUAUGGGGGCUGAGAUCAUCAUUCUGGGACAGUAGAGAGAAAAGCCCAGGCCUGACAGAGGGGUCCCACUGUCCAGAGACAAGCCUCUGGGGAAACCCAGGCUGUCUCUGGACGUCAGGGCCACGGCCAGAGCAGGGCCACUGCCAGACUGGCCGCCAGCCAGGCUGCAGGAGGGACAGUGGCCAGCAUCCUCUUCCACCCUCAUCAGAGGGGCCAGCUUUGUCUCCAGCUCAGCUUCCCUGUGAGCCAGGACGGGGGUCUGCAGAACAUCUGGUGGCUUCUGGGGUGAGGGAAAGUAGGUGCCUGGGGCUCAGCCCUGGUGCAAUUGUUCAUCUGGGUCAGCAGAGGUCGCGGGAGGCCCUGUAGGCCCAGAGGACCGUUGUAUCUCCAGCUCCCCAGGCAGGAGGCCGCUGGCCACAGAGCCUCUCCCCAGGAACAGACCUCUGCACACGCUACUCUGCCCGCACCCCCAGCCCUCACAGAUGGUGUUUGGAGGUUAGGGAGGGCCUCCCCACAGCCCCCAAGCAGGACUUACUGCUCUCCAGGGACCCAGCCACCUGUCCCAGCCUCUCCCACCUCCCACCUCUCCACUGGCCCUACCCCCUCCUGGCACCUUCUGUAACAAAGAAGCUCGCCUCCCCUCCGCUCACCUGCAACUCAGGCCGCAGUGCUUCGCCUCCCCCACCCCACCCCACCUCUGCCCCUAGAGUGGCAGCUCCAGCUUUGGGACACAGGCUGGGGUGAGGGCAUAGAGGGGCUGGACAGUCCCAGGCA
RNAcentral lists this long non-coding RNA (1465 nucleotides) under Piliocolobus tephrosceles (Ugandan red Colobus). Its description in RNAcentral is "lncRNA (ENSPTEG00000031939.1)". The record is from RNAcentral. Lineage: Eukaryota; Metazoa; Chordata; Mammalia; Primates; Cercopithecidae.